RNAcentral lists this ribosomal RNA (465 nucleotides) under uncultured bacterium. RNAcentral describes it as "partial 16S ribosomal RNA". It matches the Rfam family "Bacterial small subunit ribosomal RNA", at positions 338 to 795 of the family's 1533-position model. The record is from RNAcentral.
CCUACGGGAGGCUGCAGUGGGGAAUAUUGCGCAAUGGGCGAAAGCCUGACGCAGCGACGCCGCGUGAGGGAUGAAGGUCUUCGGAUCGUAAACCUCUGUCAGCAGGGAAGAACGGUCACGGUGCUAAUCAGCAGUGAAUUGACGGUACCUGCAAAGGAAGCACCGGCUAACGCCGUGCCAGCAGCCGCGGUAAAACGGAGGGGGCGAGCGUUAAUCGGAAUUACUGGGCGGAAAGCGCUCGUAGGCGGUAUGGCAAGUCAAGGGUGAAAUCCCCGCGCGCAACGUGGGAACUGCCUUUGAAACUGGCAAACUGGAGUGUGUGAGAGGCUAGUGGAAUUCCAGGUGUAGUAGUGAAAUCCGUAGAUAUCUGGAGGAACAUCAGUGGCGAAGGCGACUCUCUGGCCCAUAACUGACGCUGAGGUGCGAAAGCGUGGGUAGCAAACAGGAUUAGAUACCCUUGUAGUC